Molecule: ribosomal RNA, 253 nt
Filed under: uncultured bacterium
Lineage: Bacteria
Description: partial 16S ribosomal RNA
Rfam family: Bacterial small subunit ribosomal RNA
Source: RNAcentral
UACAGAGGUCCCGAGCGUUGUUCGGAAUUACUGGGCGUAAAGGGCGCGUAGGCGGCCUGCUAAGUCGAACGUGAAAUCCCCGAGCUCAACUCGGGAACUGCGUCCGAUACUGACAGGCUUGAAUCCGGGAGAGGGAUGCGGAAUUCCAGGUGUAGCGGUGAAAUGCGUAGAUAUCUGGAGGAACACCGGUGGCGAAGGCGGCAUCCUGGACCGGCAUUGACGCUGAGGCGCGAAAGCUAGGGGAGCAAACGGG